AGGCGGAAGUAAGAAAUCAACAGGGAUUGCCCUAGUAACGGCGAGUGAAGCGGCAACAGCUCAGAUUUGAAAUCUGGCCCAUUAGGGUCCGAGUUGUAAUCUGUAGAGGAUGCUUUUGGCGAGGUGCCUUCUAAGUCCCCUAGAACGGGGCGCCACAGAGGGUGAGAGCCCCGUACAGUUGGACACCGAACCUUUGUAAAGCUCCUUCGACGAGUCGAGUAGUUUGGGAAUGCUGCUCAAAAUGGGAGGUAUAUUUCUUCUAAAGCUAAAUACCGGCCAGAGACCGAUAGCGCACAAGUAGAGUGAUCGAAAGAUGAAAAGCACUUUGAAAAGAGGGUUAAAUAGCACGUGAAAUUGUUGAAAGGGAAGCGCUUGUGACCAGACUUGCGCCCGGUGAAUCAUCCAGCGUUCUCGCUGGUGCACUUUGCCGGGCUCAGGCCAGCAUCGGUUCUCCCAGGGGGAUAAAGGUCUCGGGAACGUAGCUCUCUUCGGGGAGUGUUAUAGCCCGUGGCAUAAUACCUUUGGGGGGACCGAGGACCGCGCUCUGCAAGGAUGCUGGCGUAAUGGUCAUCAGCGACCCGUCUUGAAACACGGACCAAGGAGUCAAGCAUUAGGGCGAGUCUUUGGGUGUAAAACCCGCAGGCGCAAUGAAAGUGAACGGAGGUGAGAGCUUCGGCGCAUCAUCGACCGAUCCUGAUGUUCUCGGAUGGAUUUGAGUAAGAGCCUUACCGCUUGGACCCGAAAGAUGGUGAACUAUGCCUGAAUAGGGUGAAGCCAGAGGAAACUCUGGUGGAGGCUCGCAGCGGUUCUGACGUGCAAAUCGAUCGUCAAAUUUGGGCAUGGGGGCGAAAGACUAAUC
RNAcentral lists this ribosomal RNA (859 nucleotides) under Distoseptispora sp. RNAcentral's name for it is "partial large subunit ribosomal RNA". It matches the Rfam family "Eukaryotic large subunit ribosomal RNA", at positions 48 to 936 of the family's 3401-position model. The record is from RNAcentral. Lineage: Eukaryota; Fungi; Ascomycota; Sordariomycetes; Distoseptisporaceae.